CCAAGCAAGCCUCUUUGUAUAAUCUUAUACAGUAAUCCAUAUACCUUUAAAAUCUAAAAUUCAUAAUGUUCAAAUAUAGUCCUUUUGAAAACAAUUCAUAAAACCCAAUUAUGCAUUCAUAAUGGCAUCAUCUACCAUAAUAUACAUAUAUAGCUUGACCAAUGAAUCUUAGUAUUUCUUCUCAAGUAUUCAUAUACACAUAAUUAGGCCUUGACCGUCAACGGAGUGACUCUGGUCACAGUUGCUAACAUUUAAUAUCAUGGUAAAUCUACCAAGCAAUGGAUAAGGAUGAGCACUUUGUCCUAAGAUCCAAUCACCUUUAACUUAGGAAACCUAAAACAUGAAUUUUAAAAACGUGAGUACAAACUCAGUGAGUGAACAUAGGAAGGGAACAAAAAAUGACAAGGAAUGGUUUAGAAAAUAUAAUGCACUUAUUUGAAAACAAUGCCAUUUAGUUAAAGUUCUUAUUAAAAUCCCUCCAUUAAACCCUUGGUUGUAAAAUCAUUUAAUGAUGAAGGAACCGUAUUUAGCAUGAAAUUGGAAAGAAGGGAAAUUUCCAGCAAUUAUCCAAGUAAGGCAAUAUAAACAUAAUGUUUCUCGUUGCAAUAAAAUCAAUUUGCAAAUAAACGAAAAAUUUUCAAGAUUCAUUAUGUGCAUCUCACCCAACUCAUGUGCAUCCCACCACAUCGUGCACAUAGCCGGACAUCCCAUCUCACCCAGCUCAUGUGCAUCCCACCACAUCGUGCACAUAGCCGGACAGUGUCACCAUCCAUCUCCCUCACCACCGUCAUCACCGGCAAGUGCACACUCACCCCGCACAUGCACGGUUGCAUUUGUCACACAAUGGUACUAUUUAUGAUAUAAUAUAUAUAUAUAUCAACAUUAUACAAAAACAUAUGGAUUCAUCCUUUUACACAUUUCACAUUUCACAACAUCAAACAUUUAUCAAGGGCUUAUUCCCAGGAAAUUUUAAAGCAAAAACCGAUAAAAUUCCCUAAAGAUUCAUUGAAACACGUAAACAUUUCCCCAAAACAUUUUGAAAUGCAAGUUCACUCACCUGACAAAACUAACACCGACAAGGUUUUAAUCUAGGUAGUCCGAAAUACCAUUAAACCUAUUUUAUUAAUAAACCAUAACAACCUUAAUUAAGUCAUAAAUUUAAAUCUAAUAAUUCUAAUACAUUUACAUUAGGUAAUCUACCUUCUAACCGAACAUUUAGUCUAAAUUUCUAGUCUAAUUCUCAAACCCAUCAUAUCAACUAUUUCCAAAUGUAAAGAUUCUUUACCUUGGUGAGGUCGAAGGCAUCAAAAUCAACGAAAAACCUAAUCUUUCCAAGAAAAUAAUUUGAAGAAAUUAGGAAAUAAAUAUGAAAAUAUAACCAUAGAUUCAAAAAUUCCAAAAGUUGGAAAUAUAUACCUUUCAACCUUGAAAAUGAAGAUUUGAAGCCAUAAAUCCAAGUGUUGUUGAAAGUGAAGUAGAAAUAGAAAAUAAAGGCAAAAAAGAGAGAUUUUUUCUUUCUCUCUCCUUAGGUUUGGAAGUGCUGGAAAUUAGGGUUAAAAGUUGCAACUUUGGUGCACAAGGAGUUGGGAGAAGAAAGAAGUAAGAAGAGAAAGGAAAUGAAAAGAAAACAAGGAAAGAAAAUGAAAAAAAAUUAACUUUCCAUGAGAGAAUGAGAGAAUGGCGUUGGAAGCUUCAAGAAUGAAGAAGAAAAAUCUUGCUAGAGGAGAU
This 1728-nucleotide long non-coding RNA is filed under the name Theobroma cacao (cacao). Its description in RNAcentral is "long non-coding RNA (TCAC_LNC003962)". The record is from RNAcentral. Lineage: Eukaryota; Viridiplantae; Streptophyta; Magnoliopsida; Malvales; Malvaceae.